CUCGUGGUAGUGUGUUUUUAAAGAAAAAGGGUUUUCGUGUAGGAAACGGUUUUUAAAAGAGUUUUCCUGAUUUUCAUAAUUCUUACUAUUUGAAAAUAAGUUUUCGAGUGGAAAUAUUUUAAACUGAUAGAUGUGGAAUUAUGAUUAACUAUGAUGGAAUGAAUGUGAAUGGAAUAUGUGAUGUGGUGAUUGUAUAUGAAUGAUUAUACUGUGUUGUUGUAUCUUAUACUUGUGCGACGCUGUACAAAUAUAGGAAAGACUCUGUCCAUAUGAACAGUGGACUCCCUGUAUUUAUGGCGGAUCUGACGUCCUCUGGAGGGUCAAGGUUUUCAAAAAAAAAAAUUUGUGCACUUUCGCAUCGUUUUAAACUCAAAAGGGGACUCGGAGCGUGACAGAUUAAAAUGGUAUCAGAGCCAAGUUACAACCACAGCACCACUCACUAAUUGUUUUGAAAAAAAAAAUAAACUGAACCAUUACUUAGGUUGACGCAUAGAAAGACCUAAGGGUGUGUUUGGUUCCACGUGAAACUGCGGAAAAAAAAUUUUCGGUGGAAAAAAAAAAUUUUUCGGUGGAAAAAAGUUUUACGUCGUUCGGUGUUUGGUUUGUAGGAAAAAAAAAAUAGCUUUCCACGACGGUUGUUUGGUUGAAAGGAAAAUAUAUAUAAAAAUAAAAAUUAUUAUAUAUUAUUAUAUACUAUUAAUAUAUAAUUAUUAUCAUAUUACAUAUAUAUUAGUAUUAUAAUUUAUAUUUAUAAAUAAAAUAUAUAUAUAUAAUAUAUUAUGCAAUAAUUAAAUAUGCAAUAUAAUAUAUAACACUAUAAAAUAAAUUAUUAAAUAGUUAUAAAUAAUAGUUACAAAUAAAAUAUUAUAUAAUAAAUAUAUUUAUAUUAAAAAUAA
Molecule: long non-coding RNA, 896 nt
Filed under: Ananas comosus (pineapple)
Lineage: Eukaryota; Viridiplantae; Streptophyta; Magnoliopsida; Poales; Bromeliaceae
Description: long non-coding RNA (ACOM_LNC003673)
Source: RNAcentral